Molecule: long non-coding RNA, 2529 nt
Organism: Bombyx mori (domestic silkworm)
Lineage: Eukaryota; Metazoa; Arthropoda; Insecta; Lepidoptera; Bombycidae
Exons: 5
Source: RefSeq, a predicted model, not a curated record
GCGGUGUUACGAAAAUUGAUUUCAGAUAGAAAUCAAUUUUGUUAUGUUGUGACGUAAAUCGAGAUAUUGAACAUCCGUGGCAAGACGGCCAGCGCCUUGCAGUCGUAUGCUAUCUAUAUGACCCAUGAGUCUUUUCCGGGGGUUCAGAUGCAGCCAAGAUACUAUAGCCGGCUGACUGAAGAUCUUACCACCGAAAAUGUUGAACGAUGCGUUCUCCGCACCAAUAAAACCCAUAACUGAACAAAACAAAACGCUGUGUCAAGAUAUUCUUCAAGAGUAUACGGCUCGAACAUAUGAUCCUAGACUACACAGGAGCGAUAAGACAAAAAAAAACUAGGGAGCGGUGGAGUUAUAAGUCCACUCACCAGUCAGUGUGAGCCACAUCAUCUGCUAUGACUACCCUAAAAGGAUCUCUGUCGAGGGCUAAACCCAAUACGAAGCAGAGCUAUUCUUGGACAGACAUUCAUCCUUCCGGGAAAAUGUGCUCUCCGUGCUGUGAUUAUUAUUCAUAUUUGGCUAUCGCUACAAAAAUCACUUGUGAAGAGGGAUCUAUUCCCUCUUACGGUACCUGUAGGCAGGGUCAAUGCGUGGUUCAGCUUUUCUUAGACUUUUACAAGUGGUAGUCUCGUUAGGGUCUUUGUUAGAAAUAAGAUAUUUCAAUAAAAGGUUAUGUAUUUUAACCUAGUAGAUUUUCCGCCCAUAUUGCGGUAGAAUUUGAUUUCUGUUUCAGAGCAUGUCUCCCUUGAUGUUUAGUUAUCAGCGGAACUUACAGAUAUCACAAUCUUUUCCCAUUAUAGCUUUCAUCCUACUUUACCUGAAUAGAAGUUGCAACAUUAGCUUUCACAAGCUCAUCAGUUCAGUAAUAUGCUAAAAGUUUUCGUAAUUGGCCUAUAUUGUGACGUAAUAUUGAAUAAUUUAAUCUUCUGUAGCAGGCAGAAGCGUUCCGUUCCUUUGUUACGAAAUACGACGGCUCAGUUGUUGAUGAAAAAAACAUUAAAUACAUAGUUUUUAUUUAGGUGUCGUAAAAUUCAAACGGCAUUAGCUGGCGUCACUGUUCUAUGCUUCAGCCAUAGAAGAUUGCGAAUUUUUACCAGAUUUACCAGAAUUAAAACCAGAUGAAAUGCUCCACAACAAAUUCCCCUUAACUGGGAUUUUCUCCUGCGUUAUUUCUAACAGAGACACCAACACUUGAAAUUCAGAGCGCGAAAUAUGCGCAGCAAAAAUACUUAGACCCAACCCGGACCUUGAGACCGUCGUCUCAUAGUAGCCGGGGUCUCUACCACAAGAUCAACCAGGAAAUCACAUAGAACCGUACGUGAGUGCUUGAAGUAUUUUCAAACUAGGUUUUUUGUUAUCACAAAAUCGAAAAUCGUUAUCUAUCGAAACAGGUGCGAUAUUUCAAGAAAAAUAUUUCAUCAAAAGCUGUGCCAAAAUUCUGCGAGACUUAUUGGUGACAAGAUGCUUAAGCUCGCUCGGACGUGCUUUUGUGAUAUCCGUGGGUCGAACACAGUGCUACCUCAUAUUUCAAAGUGAGCGGCUGUCUUGACGUUGGAGUAUCUACUACACCAGACAGAUACAUAUAUUUAGGGUAUGGUAUAAACGGUGGAAUGAGGUACCGUUUAAAUAGCAAUUGGGCUACCUCAUACCACCGUUUGUCACACCUUUAUACUUGAUACUCCAGUUUUAUGUACUUCUACGUAACAAAGGCUGUUCCUUCAUAUCGGAAACCAUGAAGAUACCAUCGCAUUUUACCAGUACCAGAAGCAGUACUUGUCCAGCUCUUAAUCAUAUAGGUAUGCCUUAUGUUAAUAGGCCCUACAUGCUGUUGCGGAUCGCUAAGUACUCGGCCGAGUGUACCAUGGACUUUUUACCAAUCUUGAUUAUUAAAAAAAUUCUGCUAACUCUACUUGCCUCUUUACGUGCCAAAAAAGAUCUUUGAAGACGCACAGUGGAUGAAUGCAACUGUUCCAGAUAAUAUAGAAGGAUACUGCUUUGGUGGCGGGUGGUGUGAUGAUACAAAGGAGAUGGAGGGAUCAUCUCGAGAUAUUCUUCAGAGCACUUCUUAUAUUUAAAAUGGUGCUCAGGAGUGCUCACGCUUAGGCCAUAAGUUCGCCUGCCAGCGUUAGCUCAUCAAAUAUCGAAGAUCUGUGUUCCAGGAUAGUGGUGAUCCCCUGGUACUGGGCAUUUAUGCACUCUCUCUCUCAUAGUCCCUGAUAGUGGAAUGAUGUCGUUUAUAAAGUGAGCAUACAGGGGAUUGUUCACGUAUGCUAAUUUAUUCGAUAUUCACCGUAAGCGCAUUUGUUUUAUUAUUAUUUUUUAAGUAUCUGGUGAUAAGUGGUUACCGCAACGCAUAAAAGUAGCUCACGUUAGUGUCCGGCUCGUGAACUAUAAUUUCGAAACUUCACUUUGAGGAAUCGAUUAAUUUCUCGUUGCGGGAUGACUCAGUCCUUGACAGAACAAACAAACAAACGUAUAUUUUAGCAACAGUAAGAUCGUUUUGGACGUAAAAUAAAUUUGUUUCACCGAUGU